Molecule: ribosomal RNA, 253 nt
Filed under: uncultured bacterium
Lineage: Bacteria
Description: partial 16S ribosomal RNA
Rfam family: Bacterial small subunit ribosomal RNA
Source: RNAcentral
UCCGUAGGUGACAAUCGUUAUCCGGAAUUACUGGGCGUAAAGCGCACGCAGGUGGCUACUUAAGUCUGACGUGAAAGCUCCUGGCUUAACUGGGAGAGGUCGUUGGAAACUGAGUGGCUUGAGGCGAUGAGAGGGGUAUGGAAUUCCCGGUGUAGUGGUGGAAUGCGUAGAGAUCGGGAGGAACACCAGUGGCGAAAGCGAUACCCUAGCGUUAGCCUGACGCUCAUGUGCGAAAGCGUGGGGAGAGAACCGG